Long non-coding RNA from Pseudopipra pipra, 202 nucleotides. RefSeq lists it as uncharacterized. The transcript is spliced from 3 exons. The record is from RefSeq and is a predicted model, not a curated record. Lineage: Eukaryota; Metazoa; Chordata; Aves; Passeriformes; Pipridae.
CGCUCUCGCUCCCGCCGUGCCCUGGAGAUGCUGUCGGAGCUGCGCCGCCGCCUUUCCCCCCUCCCCCCCCAGGAAGCGACCCACGGCGCCAGAUCCCACGGAGAUCGUCCCCGGGGCGAUGAAGCUUAUGGAAAAAAAGACCAAAGGCCUCGAGGGAUGUUCUUCUUGACCCCCCGGGGCAAACGGAGGUGUCAGCGUCAGA